AUCUGGAAGAGGAAGAAAAUGAGCAUUUAACAGCAUUGGACAUGGGAACAUGGAGGAAGGCCUAAACUAGUGUGUCCCUGUCCAACUAGUGCCGGCAUUUGUUUUGGAAUUUUUUCGAUGCCUCUCAUGCCUAUUACUCUUAGGUGCUCCUUCCUCUCCCUUGUGAUU
RNAcentral lists this microRNA precursor (168 nucleotides) under Triticum aestivum (bread wheat). Its description in RNAcentral is "MIR2118 microRNA precursor family". It matches the Rfam family "MIR2118 microRNA precursor family". The record is from Rfam by way of RNAcentral. Lineage: Eukaryota; Viridiplantae; Streptophyta; Magnoliopsida; Poales; Poaceae.